Molecule: ribosomal RNA, 207 nt
Filed under: uncultured bacterium
Lineage: Bacteria
Description: partial 16S ribosomal RNA
Rfam family: Bacterial small subunit ribosomal RNA
Source: RNAcentral
UGCGCAGGCGGUUGUGUAAGACAGGUGUGAAAUCCCCGAGCUUAACUUGGGAAUUGCACUUGUGACUGCACGGCUAGAGUGCGGCAGAGGGGGAUGGAAUUCCGCGUGUAGCAGUGAAAUGCGUAGAUAUGCGGAGGAACACCAAUGGCGAAGGCAAUCCCCUGGGCCUGCACUGACGCUCAUGCACGAAAGCGUGGGGAGCAAACA